This 253-nucleotide ribosomal RNA is filed under the name uncultured bacterium. Its description in RNAcentral is "partial 16S ribosomal RNA". It matches the Rfam family "Bacterial small subunit ribosomal RNA", at positions 524 to 776 of the family's 1533-position model. The record is from RNAcentral.
CACGUAGGGUGCGAGCGUUGUCCGGAAUUAUUGGGCGUAAAGAGCUCGUAGGCGGUGUGUCGCGUCGAUCGUGAAAACUUGGGGCUUAACCCUGAGCUUGCGGUCGAUACGGGCAGGCUAGAGUUCGGCAGGGGAGACUGGAAUUCCUGGUGUAGCGGUGAAAUGCGCAGAUAUCAGGAGGAACACCGGUGGCGAAGGCGGGUCUCUGGGCCGAUACUGACGCUGAGGAGCGAAAGCGUGGGGAGCAAACAGG